GACGAACGCUGGCGGCGUGCUUAACACAUGCAAGUCGAACGAUGAACCACUUCGGUGGGGAUUAGUGGCGAACGGGUGAGUAACACGUGGGCAAUCUGCCCUUCACUCUGGGACAAGCCCUGGUAACGGGGUCUAAUACCGGAUACAACACUCUCGGGCAUCCGAUGAGUGUGGAAAGCUCCGGCGGUGAAGGAUGAGCC
This 200-nucleotide ribosomal RNA is filed under the name uncultured bacterium. RNAcentral describes it as "partial 16S ribosomal RNA". It matches the Rfam family "Bacterial small subunit ribosomal RNA", at positions 28 to 231 of the family's 1533-position model. The record is from RNAcentral.